This 29-nucleotide small RNA is filed under the name Bombyx mori (domestic silkworm). RNAcentral's name for it is "ovarian small RNA-16695". The record is from RNAcentral. Lineage: Eukaryota; Metazoa; Arthropoda; Insecta; Lepidoptera; Bombycidae.
GCCGCCAAAACGAUUACUAAACAAUAAGA